AGUUGUGGUUCCUGGGCUCUAAAGCACAAGCUCAAUAGUUGUGGUGCACAAGCUUAAUUGCUCCAAAGAAUGUGGGAUCUUCCUGGACCAGGGAUCGAACCUGUGUCUCCUGCACUGGCAGCCAGAUUCUUUGCCACCGAGCCGCCAGGGAAGCCCUCUACUCUAUCUUCUGACAUGACAGUAGAUGGAUCAGAAUCUUAGGAGAUUUCUUCUGAAAUCUUGCUAACCUGUGACUACAAACUCUCGGAUGGAAGAGGAGCUAUAAAUUGGUGCAAUAAGAUGCUGAAGGAUUGGAGGAGAUGCUUAAGGAAAAACAAAUGUUGUCCUUUAGCUAGUUUACCAGGUUUUGCCUAGCUGAAAGGGUAUGUAAGCUUAAAGAGAGAGAUAUAUUGUUAAAUUCUGCUAUUAGAAAUACAGAAGACUAGAUAUUUCAAAACUUCUUUCAUUUUGAAACACUGAGAUGCUGGAUAAAUUGCAAGUAUUAAAUGAGUUGAUGAAUAAGGGAUAUUCACAGGAACAUAAAGUAAAAUAAAACAAAAUAAGCCAUGAGCAGAAAAGUCAGCAAAUUCAAAACCUGGGGCUGCUCGAGAAACAAAUGUCAAAGUCAGGAUUCUAGAGUAGAGAUUAGCAAACCACAGCAUGUGAGCCAACCACCCACCUGUUUUUGUAAAUAAAGUUUUAUUGGCACAUGGCCAUGCUCAUUCAUUUAUGUAUCAUCCAUGGCUGCUUUUGUGCUACAACAGCAGAGCUGAGUAGUUGCAAUGGAGAUCAUAUGGCCUACAAGCUUAAAAUAUUUACUCUCAUACUUUAAGAAAACCCUUAAUGGUCAUGCAAGGAAAUGGGGUCUUUGGACCCAUACAAUGUGGGAGAGGAACCUGAGAGUCAUCAGAGCUUGAACCUUCAAAUGGGCUUUCUCUGCAGAAAAAUGGUGGGCUAGAAAAACACACUAGCUGGUAAAAGCAAGUUAGAGAUAAAUCCUUCUGUUUCACCACAGCUCCAGGUGGAAAAUGCAAUUAAUAAUAGUGAUAAUAAUAAAAAAUUGUAAAUAAUAAUGAUGGC
RNAcentral lists this long non-coding RNA (1059 nucleotides) under Capra hircus (goat). Its description in RNAcentral is "lncRNA (ENSCHIG00010006903.1)". The record is from RNAcentral. Lineage: Eukaryota; Metazoa; Chordata; Mammalia; Artiodactyla; Bovidae.